GAUGAAGAACGUAGCGAAAUGCGAUAAGUAAUGUGAAUUGCAGAAUUCAGUGAAUCAUCGAAUCUUUGAACGCACAUUGCGCCCGCCAGUAUUCUGGCGGGCAUGCCUGUUCGAGCGUCAUUUCAACCAUCAAGCCCGGGCUUGUGUUGGGGACCUGCGGCUGCCGCAGGCCCUGAAAUGCAGUGGCGGGCUCGCUGUCACUCCGAGCGUAGUAGUUACAUCUCGCUCUGGGCGUGCUGCGGGUUCCGGCCGUUAAAAGCCUUAUUUACCCAAGGUUGACCUCGGAUCAGGUAGGAAGACCCGCUGAACUUAAGCAUAUCAAUAAGCGGAGGA
This 333-nucleotide unclassified non-coding RNA is filed under the name soil metagenome. RNAcentral describes it as "partial contains 5.8S ribosomal RNA, internal transcribed spacer 2, and large subunit ribosomal RNA". The stretch from base 1 to 120 matches the Rfam family "5.8S ribosomal RNA", at positions 35 to 154 of the family's 154-position model. The record is from RNAcentral.